This 75-nucleotide transfer RNA is filed under the name Saprospiraceae bacterium. Its description in RNAcentral is "tRNA-Val". It matches the Rfam family "tRNA". From Rfam's summary of the family: Transfer RNA (tRNA) molecules are approximately 80 nucleotides in length. Their secondary structure includes four short double-helical elements and three loops (D, anti-codon, and T loops). Lineage: Bacteria; Pseudomonadati; Bacteroidota; Saprospiria; Saprospirales; Saprospiraceae. The record is from RNAcentral.
CGGGGCGUAGCUCAGUUGGUUUAGAGCGCUGCCUUGACAGGGCAGAGGUCAUUGGUUCGAAUCCAAUCGUCUCGA